CAAGUCGAACGGGAAAGUGGAGCAAUCCAUGAGUAUAGUGGCGACCGGGUGAGUAACACGUGACUAACCUACCUUCGAGUGGGGGAUAACCUCGGGAAACCGGGGCUAAUACCGCAUAACAUCUUUGUUAUGAGAAAGCGAAGAUCAAAGGAGCAAUUCGCUUGAAGAGGGGGUCGCGGCUGAUUAGCUAGUUGGUGGGGUAACGGCCCACCAAGGCUUUGAUCGGUAGCCGGCCUGAGAGGGCGCACGGCCACACUGGAACUGAAACACGGUCCAGACUCCUACGGGAGGCAGCAGUGGGGAAUUUUGCGCAAUGGGGGAAACCCUGACGCAGCAACGCCGCGUGGAGGAUGAAGUCCCUUGGGACGUAAACUCCUUUCGACCGGGAAGAUUAUGACGGUACCGGUGGAAGAAGCCCCGGCUAACUUCGUGCCAGCAGCCGCGGUAAUACGAGGGGGGCAAGCGUUGUUCGGAAUUAUUGGGCGUAAAGGGCGCGUAGGCGGUGCGGUAAGUCACCUGUGAAAACUCUGGGCUCAACUCAGAGCCUGCAGGCGAAACUGCCGUGCUAAAUGUGGGA
Molecule: ribosomal RNA, 577 nt
Filed under: uncultured Acidobacteriota bacterium
Lineage: Bacteria; Pseudomonadati; Acidobacteriota
Description: bacterial SSU rRNA
Rfam family: Bacterial small subunit ribosomal RNA
Source: RNAcentral